This 289-nucleotide unclassified non-coding RNA is filed under the name Hevea brasiliensis (rubber tree). Lineage: Eukaryota; Viridiplantae; Streptophyta; Magnoliopsida; Malpighiales; Euphorbiaceae. The record is from RNAcentral.
GUCCCAAUGAACAGCACGGUUGUUUUGUGCAAUUGAAUUCCAAACUUUGGUUCCUUCCAUUAUCAAUCUCUUGGCAAUCAUUAUUUGAUGCCUGUGGUGGGAACACCCCGAGUAUNNNNNNNNNNNUCAUGUGCAAAUCUCAAAAGAUCUUCUUCAGAGGCAGAGGUUGCAACCUCCUUUAGCAGAAGAGCUCUAUCAGUCAAGCCUCCCAAGCAGUAUUUAAAGACAGUCAAGUCCGAAAUUGAAUAGCCACUGCUUGACACAACCUUGAAAUCUGAAUCUCUUUCCU